UGGAGGCAGCAGUGAGGAAUAUUGGACAAUGGGGGCAACCCUGAUCCAGCAAUGCCGCGUGAGUGAUGAAGGCCUUAGGGUUGUAAAGCUCUUUCGCCCGCGACGAUGAUGACGGUAGCGGGAGAAGAAGCCCCGGCUAACUUCGUGCCAGCAGCCGCGGUAAUACGAAGGGGGCGAGCGUUGUUCGGAAUUACUGGGCGUAAAGGGCGCGCAGGCGGCCUGAGAAGUCAGAUGUGAAAGCCCCGGGCUCAACCUGGGAAUGGCAUUUGAUACUCUUGGGCUGGAGUGCGGGAGAGGAGAGUGGAAUUCCCAGUGUAGAGGUGAAAUUCGUAGAUAUUGGGAAGAACACCGGUGGCGAAGGCGGCUCUCUGGACCGUAACUGACGCUGAGGCGCGAAAGCGUGGGGAGCAAACAGGAUUAGAUACCCUGGUAGG
This 434-nucleotide ribosomal RNA is filed under the name uncultured bacterium. Its description in RNAcentral is "bacterial SSU rRNA". It matches the Rfam family "Bacterial small subunit ribosomal RNA", at positions 343 to 794 of the family's 1533-position model. The record is from RNAcentral.